Molecule: ribosomal RNA, 266 nt
Filed under: uncultured bacterium
Lineage: Bacteria
Description: partial 16S ribosomal RNA
Rfam family: Bacterial small subunit ribosomal RNA
Source: RNAcentral
AAUCUGCCUCUAGGUCGGGGACAACAAUUGGAAACGAUUGCUAAUACCCGAUGUGCAGCAAUGUGAAAGAUUUAUUGCCUGAAGAUGAGCUCGCGUCUGAUUAGCUAGUAGGUGAGGUAAAGGCUCACCUAGGCGACGAUCAGUAACUGGUCUGAGAGGAUGACCAGUCACACUGGGACUGAGACACGGCCCAGACUCCUACGGGAGGCAGCAGUGGGGAAUUUUCCGCAAUGGGCGCAAGCCUGACGGAGCAAUACCGCGUGAGG